GACGAACGCUGGCGGCGUGCCUAACACAUGCAAGUCAACUUGACUGAAGGAGCAAUCUGACAGUAGAGUGGCGCAAGGGUGCGUAACGCGUAAGUAACUUGCCCAAGGUAAGGAAUAACGUCGAGAAAUCGGCGCUAAUACCUCAUAAUGCAGCGGAUCCGCAUGGAUAUGUUGUUAAAGGUUUACCGCCUUGGGAUAGGCUUGCGUCUGAUUAGCUAGUUGGUGUGGUAACGGCACACCAAGGCUACGAUCAGUAACUGGUCUGAGAGGAUGAUCAGUCACACUGGAACUGAGACACGGUCCAGACUCCUACGGGAGGCAGCAGUGAGGAAUAUUGGUCGAAUAGCUCGAA
RNAcentral lists this ribosomal RNA (352 nucleotides) under uncultured bacterium. Its description in RNAcentral is "bacterial SSU rRNA". It matches the Rfam family "Bacterial small subunit ribosomal RNA", at positions 28 to 380 of the family's 1533-position model. The record is from RNAcentral.